Molecule: unclassified non-coding RNA, 330 nt
Filed under: Melitaea cinxia (Glanville fritillary)
Lineage: Eukaryota; Metazoa; Arthropoda; Insecta; Lepidoptera; Nymphalidae
Description: misc RNA ENSMCXG00005020838.1
Source: RNAcentral
UUUGUUUGGUGAUUUCUUAAUCAUCCAUGCUCUUAAGAUGAGCUGAGAUAAAGCUGGCAUACACAGUUUAUCUUAUAGGAUCGAUGAAAUGGAUGGCAGUCACGCGUACAGCUAGUUGUAUUACAAAACAUUCACUAAUACGAUCUUAAAUAUUAAACUUACUUCACGAGUUAGAAAUAGAACUUUCUCGACUUAUAGUUGUACUAAUUAUAUUACACAAGAAGAAUGACUCUAGAAGUAAAAUACGAAGGAAUAACGUGUUUAAUGUAUUUUAAUGAACAUUAUUUCAAGUCCCAGUAUAAUCUCAGUUAUCGAUGCACUAAUUCGUAG